CUGCGGAUGUACUCUAAUGCUGAUCGAUAAAUGUCCAGUAAUUAAUUUAUAGAGUUAACCGUCUGACUGCACCCGUGUACACUUUUUGCCUAUUAUCACUCCUGCCAUUAUUAGAGAAAUUGCUGAUAUAGCAAAUUCCAUAUGACAGUGCAGUGCUAUCGUAUCUAUAAGCCAGAGCAAAAAAAAAACAACACCACCGAUUUUGACGGCGUGACGG
Cinara cedri is the source of this 217-nucleotide non-coding RNA. The record is from the annotation of a GenBank genome assembly. Lineage: Eukaryota; Metazoa; Arthropoda; Insecta; Hemiptera; Aphididae.